Molecule: ribosomal RNA, 497 nt
Filed under: uncultured bacterium
Lineage: Bacteria
Description: partial 16S ribosomal RNA
Rfam family: Bacterial small subunit ribosomal RNA
Source: RNAcentral
GAUGAACGCUGGCGGCGUGCCUAAUACAUGCAAGUCGAGCGAACGGACGGGAAGCUUGCUUCCCUGAUGUUAGCGGCGGACGGGUGAGUAACACGUGGAUAACCUACCUAUAAGACUGGGAUAACUUCGGGAAACCGGAGCUAAUACCGGAUAAUAUUUUGAACCGCAUGGUUCAAAAGUGAUUGACGGUCUUGCUGUCUCUUAUAGAUGGAUCCGCGCUGCAUUAGCUAGUUGGUAAGGUAACGGCUUACCAAGGCAACGAUGCGUAGCCGACCUGAGAGGGUGAUCGGCCACACUGGAACUGAGACACGGUCCAGACUCCUACGGGAGGCAGCAGUAGGGAAUCUUGCGCAAUGGGCGAAAGCCUGACGGAGCCACGCCGCGUGAGUGAUGAAGGUCUUCGGAUCGUAAAACUCUGUUAUUAGGGAAGAACAUAUGUGUAAGUAACUGUGCACAUCUUGACGGUACCCAAUCAGAAAGCCACGGCUAACUACGUG